GGCUUUUACCAACUUGCGUCACUUGUGGUGUAGGCGAGACAUUCGUUUACUGACGAAAGGACGCAUUUACUGUGCA
RNAcentral lists this microRNA precursor (76 nucleotides) under Schistosoma japonicum. RNAcentral's name for it is "microRNA sja-mir-3485 precursor". The record is from miRBase by way of RNAcentral. Lineage: Eukaryota; Metazoa; Platyhelminthes; Trematoda; Strigeidida; Schistosomatidae.